CCCGCCCGGUCUCUCUUCCUCUCCCCCGCCUCGCCCCUCCCCUCCCGUCCCCUCCCCCCUCUGGCCGGUGCGGUGCGGGAGCAGUCUGUCCGCGCUUCCUCCGAGGUCGGGCUAGGGAGCGGAUCUCCAAGCGCUCUAGGCCGAGCUUGGCGCUCCGAGGUGGUGCUUCGACCCUAGAGCCUGCGCCGGCCCUCCCCCUUCCCCCCUCCCCCACCCCCGGUGCUGCAGCUGUAGCGGGGGUGGAGGGAUCGGGGGAAGAGUGUGACCCGUGAAUGCUGGGCGGGGCGGGGCAGCUUUAAAAACUUCUGAAAGGCCACGUUCAAAGCCUCCAGGGACCGAACUUGGGCCGGAAGGCGGUUUCCACGGAGGGGGCCUAAAAGGGGGCGGAGGGUGCACCUGCAGGGCCGGGAGCGCGCUGCCUGGGAAGAGGGUCUGGGUUCCCGGGAACCCUGAAGCCCGGGCCCGGCACUCGGCACCUGGCCCCAGCCUCCUCCGCUCCAAGCCCUCGCCCCCUCGGGGAGCCAGCGGCCCCUCCCGGGACCUUGCUUUCAUCCUCCCCGCGGGACGGCAGUGGGGCGGGGUGGGAGCCUUUUUGGGCCGCGUGUUCCCUGCGGGGUCUUCCUUCCCUCCGGCCCCUCCUUAAGAACCAGAGGUUUCGCAGCAAAGUUGAAUUCCCGGAUUUUAAUUCCAGUCCACCCGGGUGGGAGACGGCUGAGGAAGUGGGACUCCUACCCCCAUAAAAAUCACUGGGGAGGGUGAGAAGGAGGAGAAAACGAGAGGAGGGGGCCCACGCUGGGGGUGGGGAGGUGGGUAGAGGGUGGCCAGGGUCGCAUAGUGGCGAAUCGGAUAGUGGUCUGGGCGGGCGGCGUCUGUGCGCCUCGGCUGUGCCAUCUGGGGGGCACAUCGGGAGGGGCAACCGCUGGCCAGGGCCGCUCUUGAACAGACAGCUGACGCGGUCCCUCGCGGGGCAGAGGGGGAAGGACUAAAGGGAUUUUCACUAGUAUGAGGAUCUCCAGGCCCAAAGUCCUUCCUAUAGAGGCUCUUGAAUUAAUUAGGUAAAUGAUUUCCUUCAUUGAUAGUUUCUGAAGAAGACAUUUUCUUGUACCUUCUGAAAUUGAGCACUUUAGCCAGGUAGCAAAUACAGGGAGGAUCCCCUUAAGACGGUGUCCACUCCUGUGGCCUCUCGGGGUGUGAAGUGAUGGGUGGGUUAGUGGGAGCACUUGGGGAUACGUAGACAUGGAAUCGAACAAAGUUCGUGAGUUAGUUAAGGAAGAAAAAGAGCUACUGAAAAUAGAGUCGCUUGAAAAUAAACAACAUAAAGUUUAUUAUUUUGCUUGGAGUCCUUUUCCUUGAUCUGAGAAAGUAAAAUAAGUGAGAAUUCGGUUAUUUUUGUCCAAUUAGCAUUUAUUACAUUUUCUCAAAGGUCUUGAAAGAAUUAUUUUAGUAAAUUUUAAGAACAGUAGUGCUGGCAUUACAGAGAUGAGGCGAACCGAUCGCUAGGCUCCAGGAGAGUUUAGCUGCAACGCUAACUCUUCAAAUUUAGUGUCAACUUUACUUAUUUUAAAAAAAAAAAUAGGGCAACGUUUUUAUUAACUCAUAACUUUAGGAGGUAGGGAACAGUAAGAAGGAAAGAGACCUAAGGAAAAAUAAAGCAAUGAGAACAAAAAGAAACGAGAUUGAUUGUAACAGUCUGAUCUUCAGUGAGUCCCAAGUCAGCAUUCUAAUACAGUGCACAUUUCUGGUGGCCUUGACUUUACCUGCAAUAUUGGUGGGCCCGGUCUCUAAGCGCUUCCUAAGAAAGAACAAGCUUAAGCAAAAUGUGUUCUCUUUUGUGAAGGUCUAGCACUUACUUAAUGAAGUUGCUCCAACAGAAAAAGGGGUCCUCCUGCUCUCGGGUGACCUGAGCAGAUUUUACUGCUGUAAAAUCGGCAGGUGUGCGCAGCAUCCGCAGCGCAAGAGCCCGGACCUGGUGAGCCAGAGUGCCGAUGACCGGAGUACCUUGCCCUGGCAUCUUAGCAGACAAGAACUGGCACGUUGAAACUGUCCAUGUGAUGGACAAAGGGAUCAAGUUUCUUACAGACAUGCCCACUUUGCAGUCCAACAUUCUCCUGUAUACAGGGUGAAAGCAACAUUUUUAUCCCUUAAGACUAAAAUGUAACCUUUAAAAGGAGUUGAAAGCAUGGUCAGGGCUCACAGGUCAAGUACAACUUAUCUGGUAAAGAGCAAGAAACUUUGUAAAAGUUGGAAUUGCCAGUCAAAGAGAUAGUUUAAGAUGCUACAAAUAGCCUGGUCACCACAAGAGAACCAGAAAUACUUGGGGGUGCAUUUGUGUUUGUGAAGGGGGCAGGUAAUUGAGACUUGGUUUGCUAUUGUUUGAAUGAUUUGAGGUUUACGGAAAGCAGACCUUAUUCUCAUGAAGCUGGAAGGCUGUACUUUCUGGGCAAAAUACUCUUGGUGAUUUCACCCUCAGAGUUGUGGGCUCUAAGACCUUUGCAAGCACCCUUGACCAGAGAAAUCACACAUCUAGCAAACUGCAACUUUUCUCUUGAGUUCAUUAUACAAAAUGCACAAACCUUGAUUGUUAAAUAAUUUAGGUGGUGUUUUCUCUCAGAAAGAAAACUCCAGGGAGAAUUUCUGGAGAUAAGGGCUACAUUAGAGCCCAUUCCUUACCAGUGGGGCAGGGGGUCAGACAACAUUCUGGCACAAACACACAUCUUUGCCUGAACCGGCACCUACAUUCCCACCCUGGGUGCACACACUGCCAGCUGAAGAACAAAAGUUUAUCCACCCCAAGUGGAUAAGGAGUAAGGCUUGAUGCAGAGUUCAAACACAAAUGCACAAAACACUAAAGGGCGCGGGGGCGGGGCGGGGGGGGGGGGGGGGCGCUUAACUCUGAGUGUUAAGAAGGGUUACCUCCAAGCAGCCAGGGACUUCCAGCAAGCAGUGAAAAAGAGCCCCAGAGGUCUGCAACCUGUCAGCUCCAGGGGUAGUCCCGCCAGCCCCACAAUAUCGGUGCUGUGGUUCAAAAGUUGGAAACUGCGGUUUUUAAUUGAGUCAGGGUCCUGCCUCCCCGUUUCCUCUUCAGCGGCCCCGCUCGGUAAGCGGAUUUGCUUUUCCAUGCAUCGCUGGCAAGUUGCUUUUAGGAAACCUAGCUUCUGCGAAACGUUUUAAACAUGGUAAUAUAUUGCAGCCUUAUGAAAUCCCCCUCCAGAAGUGCGUGAAAGAGGCUCUGUUUUCCUGAAGGAUUUGGGGACUUUACUAUCUGAGCAAAGGCUGGCUCAGAAUCCUAGGAAGGCUUGGAUUCACUUCACAUCCACUCACGUGAAGGCAGCGUAUUUUGUUUUUGGUUUUGUUGUUUGGUUUGGUUCUUAACGCCUAGAAGAUUUUAAACUCACAUAAUACUCCCUCGAAAAGAGGUGGGGGGGACAUUGAACGUGUUUCCUUCUCUCCAAGAUACCCUAGAAGGUAUUUGUCUGGGAGAAGCGAUGCUGAGCUGGUGGAAUCACCAAUUAAUAUGGAGAACUAGGCCGUCUGGGCCAAGUUCCCCAGGCAUGGAGACGCGGAGGGGAGGGGAUAAAAGUCUCUCACAAGUCGCCACUAGGAAAGAGGGUGGCAGAGCAGAGAGCCCCUUCAAAAGUUCAGCUGUGCUGGGCGUCUGAUCUUCCUUCCAAGACCGCUCGCCAGGGAGCCCCGCGGGUUUCAGCUUCCACUCAAAAGAGAUUGUGUUAAUCAGAUUGACAAAGUGGAGUCGAGCACGCACUAACUAGCGCUCGGAACACAACUUUUCUUCCUGCGCUUUCAGCAAGACGUCGUCUGGCUAACGAACUGAACCCGGCGCGUGCAGCCCUCUCAACUUGGAGUUGGACUUCACCCUCGGCGCCGCAGAUGAGAAAAGAGGGCCAUAGCAAAAGAGACCUGCUCAAGUUCACAGACCAGGACUCCACUCUGAGUUCAAUCCUUCUCCCAACCCGAAUUCAUCCUAAGAGUUCAUAAAGAUGUGUUCCUGGAAUGUCUUCACCAGAUGUUUACCCAAGAAAUUACAGUCGCAGAGUCUUCAACAUGUGCGUGCAUUUUGAAAGCAGCAUUUAAGAUCUGAACUCAAUUUAUGAUUUUCUUUUCCUUAUUAAAAAAAUAAAAGGGUGGGGGCAUGUUAGUUUUGCCUGCAAGUGAGUCUUUACCGAGUCUGUGUUAACGUCACUCACUUUCACUCUGCGACGUGCUAGUCUCACAGUCUAGUUUUGUUCAGACUUUAUUUUGCUCCAAGCUCCCUUACAAGCCACUUGUCCACGCUGCAAAAGGUGGGGGUAGUGGUUGGGGUGAGGGGCUCUUUGGCUCUUUUUUCCCCCGGUUCCUAUAUGUGAUGCAAUCUGGAAUCAUUUCACUUGGCCCUCCGCGCGCGCAGAGACGCGCGCGCACACACACGCACACACGUGUACCAUGCAUGUGUGGGCCCCUAUAGAACGGUGUGGUCGCGCGUUUGUGAUUUAAAGUGGCAGGACCGAGAGCCGGACUGAAGUCGUGAAUUAUUUUGCGUGAUCAAUCAGCCCGAUCGUCUGCACACUGUACUGGCAUUAUUCACCCGAGUGCUCGGCGGUUACGGCGGACGUGCACUGCGGCAAAAACGUCCUCGGAGCCGCUAAUUUUGUGGCCACUGCGGCGGCCGCGGCGGCGGCGGCGGCGGCGACGGCUUGGGGGCGCGAGCACAGAUUGAUUUUUCAAGAUCACGUCUCCUUCAGUGCGGGUCGCCAAAUCGAAUCGAGUUGAAGCCUCACUGGAUGCAUGCGGAUUAGGUUUUGUACCUGAGAUUGUUAAAAUCCAUUUUUUUUUUUUAUUCCUUUAGAAAGACGAGCAGAGCCGUUAGUGCAGGAAAGGAGAUAUACCUUUUCUGUUUUAUUUUCCUUUUACGUUUAGGGGGAAAAAAAUGAAAAUGGCUACCACCGCUUCUUGAGCAUAGGGGAGGCCAGACCUUUGCAGACUGGGAAAUGAUGCUCGAAAUCCUUUCUUCCUUCCAUCCCUCCCUCCCUCGCCCUCAUCCUCUGCUCUGAGACAGCCUAGGGAGAAAAAUGGUCAUAUGCACUUGCGCGGGUCAUUUGUCCUCACUCUCUUUUCUAACGACAACUAGUUACCUUUUUUGUUUUUUCUUUUGACAAACUGAUCCUUUUUAUCUGGUUUCAAAUUUUUAAUAAAACGUGUCCGGAA
Bubalus bubalis (water buffalo) is the source of this 5199-nucleotide long non-coding RNA. RefSeq lists it as uncharacterized. The record is from RefSeq and is a predicted model, not a curated record. The transcript is spliced from 4 exons. Lineage: Eukaryota; Metazoa; Chordata; Mammalia; Artiodactyla; Bovidae.